GACGAACGCUGGCGGCGCGCCUAACACAUGCAAGUCGAACGAGAGAUGAGGAGCUUGCUCUUCAAAUCGAGUGGCGAACGGGUGAGUAACGCGUGAGGAACCUGCCUCAAAGAGGGGGACAACAGUUGGAAACGACUGCUAAUACCGCAUAAGCCCACGGCUCGGCAUCGAGCAGAGGGAAAAGGAGCGAUCCGCUUUGAGAUGGCCUCGCGUCCGAUUAGCUAGUUGGUGAGGUAACGGCCCACCAAGGCGACGAUCGGUAGGGGUUCUGAGAGGAAGGUCCCCCACAUUGGAACUGAGACACGGUCCAAACUCCUACGGGAGGCAGCAGUGAGGAAUAUUGGUCAAUGGGCAGAGCCUGAACCAGCCAAGUAGCGUGCAGGACGACGGCCCUAUGGGUUGUAAACUGCUUUUAUAAGGGAAUAAAGUGAGUCUCGUGAGACUUUUUGCAUGUACCUUAUGAAUAAGGACCGGCUAAUUCCGUGCCAGCAGCCGC
Molecule: ribosomal RNA, 496 nt
Filed under: uncultured bacterium
Lineage: Bacteria
Description: bacterial SSU rRNA
Rfam family: Bacterial small subunit ribosomal RNA
Source: RNAcentral